RNAcentral lists this long non-coding RNA (341 nucleotides) under Malus domestica (apple). RNAcentral describes it as "long non-coding RNA (MDOM_LNC007558)". The record is from RNAcentral. Lineage: Eukaryota; Viridiplantae; Streptophyta; Magnoliopsida; Rosales; Rosaceae.
GGUCGACGUGGUUUAGGGUCGUAGAUUCAUUGAAAUUUGCAGAAAUGGCCGGGAAACUCAAUCACUUCGUUUAGCUUCAAAUCUUAACCAAUUUACUCCAAAUUUGUAUCAAAAUGAAGAUAAAUGAACGAAAGUUUGAUUUUCACUUACACAAGUCAAAGAAGUGGCUGGAGAGACCGAAAAAUGGCCAAAUAAACUCGGAAUCUCACCGGAUUUCCUCAAGCCUGUGUUUAGGCUAGGAUUUUUGUGAAACAAAACUCAAGUUUAAGUUCAAGGAAUAGUGAUGGUGAAGGUGAUGAUGUUUUGGUGGUUGGUAGCUGAUGAAAGGCGGUGGUGGCGUU